UUCCACAGUCGAGGAGGUCUAGUUGUGGGGAAAGCGCAAUGCGAGCUAGGAUUUUGGCCGGUACGAGGUGAGUAAUGGUUAUGAAUGAUAUAACGAGGGUUUGAACUCCCGUAUUUUCACUAUAAGGUGCUAUGUUGAGAUGAGAUACACAUAUUGUGCUGAUCAUGGUGAUGUAUUUGCUGGGGACUCAGACUUGGUCCAUCCCGAGUGAUGACUUAUUGUAUAUCUCGACUGAGACAGAGCUUGUACUCGCAUAAUUCGGGCUAGUUGCCAUGUUUGGGCGAUGUGCCGAUAUGUAGAAUUCCUAGGGAGUAUGUUGAGCUGAUUGAUCUCACUUUACCUAAUGGACACAUACCAUCUGUCCUUACUUUGACUGUAAAUCGUGAAAUAAUGAGACUUGGAAACUUGCACCCUGAAUGGGCAAUACCUUGGGUUUAAUACCUUGUCUCAACUGAGUGGGCCCGGGAGGCCAAGUAUAUAAUGACUGAGUGGGGUCAAGGACCCUGCAGUGAGUUUAAUUAAUAUAUAUACAUCGGGUUGGGCUGCACGCCGUAGCAGUAUAUACAUACACAUGUAUAUGGAUCGAACUGUAUGCCGCAGUAGUAUAUUAUAUAGAUCGGAUUGCAUGCCGCAUUAGUAUAUUAUAUGGAUCGGACUGCAUGCCAUUGUGAUAUAUUAUAUGGAUCGGACUGCACGCCGCAGGGAUAUAUGGAUCGGAAUGCACGCCGCAGUAUUAUAGCGCUUGAGCUGAAGGAGCCCCUUCGGAGUCUGUAC
Molecule: long non-coding RNA, 774 nt
Filed under: Nicotiana benthamiana
Lineage: Eukaryota; Viridiplantae; Streptophyta; Magnoliopsida; Solanales; Solanaceae
Description: long non-coding RNA (NBEN_LNC010331)
Source: RNAcentral